Molecule: small RNA, 107 nt
Filed under: Marmota monax (woodchuck)
Lineage: Eukaryota; Metazoa; Chordata; Mammalia; Rodentia; Sciuridae
Source: RNAcentral
GUCAGGUGUGGUGGUGCACACCUGUAAUCCCAGCUACUUUGGAGGCCGAGGCAGGAGGUUUGCAAAUUCAAGGCCAGCCUGGGCAACUUAGUGAGAUCCUAUCACAA